This 460-nucleotide ribosomal RNA is filed under the name uncultured bacterium. Its description in RNAcentral is "partial 16S ribosomal RNA". It matches the Rfam family "Bacterial small subunit ribosomal RNA", at positions 338 to 795 of the family's 1533-position model. The record is from RNAcentral.
CCUACGGGUGGCAGCAGUGAGGAAUAUUGGUCAAUGGACGCAAGUCUGAACCAGCCAUGCCGCGUGCAGGAAGACGGCUCUAUGAGUUGUAAACUGCUUUUGUACGAGGGUAAACUCAGAUACGUGUAUCUGUCUGAAAGUAUCGUACGAAUAAGGAUCGGCUAACUCCGUGCCAGCAGCCGCGGUAAUACGGAGGAUUCAAGCGUUAUCCGGAUUUAUUGGGUUUAAAGGGUGCGUAGGCGGUCGGAUAAGUUAGAGGUGAAAUCCCGAGGCUCAACUUCGGAAUUGCCUCUGAUACUGUUAGGCUAGAGAGUAGUAGCGGUAGGCGGAAUGUAUGGUGUAGCGGUGAAAUGCUUAGAGAUCAUACAGAACACCGAUUGCGAAGGCAGCUUACCAAGCUACGUCUGACGUUGAGGCACGAAAGCGUGGGGAGCAAACAGGAUUAGAUACCCCAGUAGUC